This 555-nucleotide long non-coding RNA is filed under the name Lathyrus oleraceus (garden pea). Its description in RNAcentral is "Pisum sativum (pea) long non-coding RNA (PSAT_LNC036558)". The record is from RNAcentral. Lineage: Eukaryota; Viridiplantae; Streptophyta; Magnoliopsida; Fabales; Fabaceae.
UUUUUGGUUGUUUAGGCUGAGUGAUGUACUUAGCUGAGGUAUGAUGUUGUAGGGAUCAUUUCCCGUUGUUUUGAGUAGCAUAGGUAUUAGUAGAGUGUGCUAAUACUAUGAUUUAAUUAUAUGGCAUGAGAUGAUGUGCUCUUGUGAUAAAUGUGUUGAUGACAUGUGUGGAUAUGCAUGAUGCUGUGAAUGUAUCAGUUAUGUAUGCAUUGGUGAAAUAGACUGUUUUAUGGCUUAGAGUGUGAGCUUAUGUCUAUUCUUGAAUUGUUGUUGUUGUUGUUGCAUUGCUAGGUGAUUAGCAGGCAUGUUCUAGCCUUUGGGGCUGUAGCUAAUUCCCAUUGUGAGGAAUUAGUGAGUGAAUUGUUGUGAUAAUUGUUGUUGAUGUUUGCAUGCUAGAUGAUUAGCUUGCAUAGUCUAGCCUUCGGGGCUGUAGCUAAUUCCCAUGGUGAGGAAUUAGUGAGUGAGUCAUUAGAUCUCAAUGAGUGGGACUAGUGAGCUUAGUAGCCGUAUCCGGAGGGAUCGGUGAGCUUGAACUGUAUGUUCAAGAAGAGUCGG